CCUUACCUGGCCUUGACAUACUAAGAACUUUCCAGAGAUGGAUUGGUGCCUUCGGGAACUUAGAUACAGGUGCUGCAUGGCUGUCGUCAGCUCGUGUCGUGAGAUGUUGGGUUAAGUCCCGCAACAAGCGCAACCCUUUUCCUUAUUUGCCAGCGGGUUAAGCCGGGAACUUUAAGGAUACUGCCAGUGACAAACUGGAGGAAGGCGGGGACGACGUCAAGUCAUCAUGGCCCUUACGGCCAGGGCUACACACGUGCUACAAUGGUCGGUACAAAGGGUUGCCACCUCGCGAGAGGAUGCUAAUCUCAAAAAGCCGAUCGUAGUCCGGAUCGCAGUCUGCGACUCGACUGCGUGAAGUCGGAAUCGCUAGUAAUCGCGGAUCAGAAUGCCGCGGUGAAUACGUUCCCGGGCCUUGUACACACCGCCCGUCACACCAUGGGAGUUUGUUGCACCAGAAGUAGGUAGUCUAACCGCAAGGAGGACGCUUACCACGGUGUGGCCGAUGACUGGGGUGAAGUCGUAACAAGGUAGGCGUAGAUGA
Molecule: ribosomal RNA, 541 nt
Filed under: uncultured bacterium
Lineage: Bacteria
Description: bacterial SSU rRNA
Rfam family: Bacterial small subunit ribosomal RNA
Source: RNAcentral